Molecule: long non-coding RNA, 300 nt
Organism: Girardinichthys multiradiatus
Lineage: Eukaryota; Metazoa; Chordata; Actinopteri; Cyprinodontiformes; Goodeidae
Exons: 2
Source: RefSeq, a predicted model, not a curated record
GCCAUGCUGAAAACAUCAGCAACUCUGCGUCAGAAUUGCAGAAAGAGAGACAUCUUGCUAGAACACGGCCCUAAUUCCUCGUUCUGUUUUGUACCCAGCCAGAACCAAUAAACUGUGCGCGAGCACCGGGGAGCAUUUUUGUCUGCCCACACCUGUUGGGAGAUGAAAAAUUGCACAGGGGGAAGGCCAAAAUGAGGCCCUCUAACCCAGUGGAAGACACCCCCAGAACACACACACACACACACACACACACACACUCACUUACACCAAACAAACAAAAUAAAGCAGUUGAAAAAGCCA